AUUGUUUAUUAAUGUGAAGUCGAAGUUUGGGGUGAUUAGCCUUAUCUCGUUAAAUUUUGUUCAGUAUGAAACAGUCUGAACAGCCAUCCUCGAUUUUGUCAACAAUCUAAAACGUGCUAAGGAGUAGUCAUUCGUCGAUUUACCUGCGGCUUCCAGAUGAUCUGAAGAUCGGGAAUAUAGAAAAUAUUGUCAAUUUGAUAUUGCUAAUGACCCAGUCAUGUCUGCUGAAGCCCAGAAGUUUCCAGACCAUGACAUUAAUGAAUAUUUCUUGAAUGGAAUGCAUGAGGAUUAGAAUGGAACCUUAUUCUGCCCUUUUACCAACCAUCUUUUCAAGAUUUAUGGAGCCAACUACAGAAGAAUUUGAUCUAUACACAUCAUUCAUAACAUUCUUAUUUAUGUUGCAUAACUUUAAAUGUUACUGGAUGAAUUGUGUUCACAUAAUGAAUACCAGCAAACUUUUUAUCGAGUGCACUUAAUUUGUAUUUUUCCUACCCAUCCAUCUAACAUAUGUUUUUAUAUAACAUAUUCAUAUACAUGUAACAUUUAUGGAAACAGCUAUUUUUUUAAAAUUGGAAUUUAGCCUUACUAUUUUGUUCAAUUUUUUUUUAAAGGGACUUGGACACGAUUUUAGAUCAAAAUUUUGUUUUCAAUUUCUUUAUGCAUAAAAUGAUUUACUUGCACAUUUUGAAUAAUUGACCAUAAUUUGAAUGUUA
Long non-coding RNA from Magallana angulata, 713 nucleotides. RefSeq lists it as uncharacterized. The transcript has 3 exons. The record is from RefSeq and is a predicted model, not a curated record. Lineage: Eukaryota; Metazoa; Mollusca; Bivalvia; Ostreida; Ostreidae.